RNAcentral lists this non-coding RNA (24 nucleotides) under Arabidopsis thaliana (thale cress). Lineage: Eukaryota; Viridiplantae; Streptophyta; Magnoliopsida; Brassicales; Brassicaceae. The record is from RNAcentral.
AGCACGUCGGUUCCUAAAUGGUUC